RNAcentral lists this transfer RNA (85 nucleotides) under Thermoplasmata archaeon. RNAcentral's name for it is "tRNA-Leu". It matches the Rfam family "tRNA". From Rfam's summary of the family: Transfer RNA (tRNA) molecules are approximately 80 nucleotides in length. Their secondary structure includes four short double-helical elements and three loops (D, anti-codon, and T loops). Lineage: Archaea; Methanobacteriati; Thermoplasmatota; Thermoplasmata. The record is from RNAcentral. RNAcentral also lists the same sequence under 1 other name.
GCGGGGAUUCCCAAGCUUGGUCAAAGGGGCAGGACUUAGAAUCCUGUUGCGCAGGCAUUCGCCGGUUCAAAUCCGGCUCCCCGCA